AUGUCAUGGCAUAAUCUUUUAUGCCGUUUGGAUGCGAUUAGCCUGACAGAAAGUCAGAAUGUGUUUUGCUGGAACCUUACUACAUCAGGGUCUUUCACUGUAGACUCUAUGUAUUGUGCGCUCACGCAUUCUGAGAUGCCGGUGAGUAAUAAUAAGAAAAUUUGGAGGUUGAAGAUACCACUAAAAGUUAAAGUCUUCAUGUGGUAUCUUCGUAGGGGAGUUGUGCUAACCAAAAACAAUCUCGCACGGCGUAAUUGGCAAGGGAGUAAGAAGUAUUGUUUUUGUACUCAUGACGAGACAAUCAGACACCUCUUUUUCCAAUGCAACUUUGCACGUUCUAUGUGGCCAGUCAUCCAAAUAGCGUCAAGUUUAUAUCUGCCCACAAGUGUUGCCAAUAUUUUUGAUCAUUGA
Molecule: ribosomal RNA, 411 nt
Filed under: Triticum aestivum (bread wheat)
Lineage: Eukaryota; Viridiplantae; Streptophyta; Magnoliopsida; Poales; Poaceae
Description: partial small subunit ribosomal RNA
Source: RNAcentral